Molecule: small nucleolar RNA, 132 nt
Organism: Aotus nancymaae (Ma's night monkey)
Lineage: Eukaryota; Metazoa; Chordata; Mammalia; Primates; Aotidae
Source: Ensembl
UGCACUUACGUUUGUUUUUGUUUAACUUGUGGACAAAGUCUUAUGGAUAGGUGCAAAAAACAAAUCCUCUUUUGCAACCCAGAACUCAUUGUUCAGUAUGAGUUUUGAUACAUACAUGUAAGAAGGGAUAUU